ACUGCUUCCCUCAAAGUAAGAGAGCCAAAAAAACUUCCUGUCUGGCAUAAUACAGAUUAGGAACUAAAUUAGCUGCUAUUAUAGAUGGGCAUUUUUCUAUUGAUUUCAGGGUGAAAUCCAUUAAAACUGGCAGAAAAGUUGGCUGCAUUUCCGUAGAGUCAGUGAAAUCAAAUAGAAAUAUGAAGCUGAGAAAAAGGAAGGAAUGUGUGCGGCUGUGUGAAGUAGAGUCCAGCUCAGCCAUUGGAAAGUGGAAUGAGGACUUUGCCUGCCUGUCAGAGAAGGCGCAAAAGAUGGUCCAGAAUGUUGAUUUCAUGCUAACUUUAAUGCUUAUUACUGAACUCCACUGCUGUGAAAUCAGGGUAAACUGAGGCUGUACUUCUUAAGUCAGUGAAAGGAAAUCUGAAAAUCCGGAGAGAAGAUCUGAGAUAGAAUAUGGAAAGCAAUUGUCAUGGUUAAGAGAUGGUUUUCCCCAUGUUCCCAAAACCCAUAUCUGUAGACCCACAAGGACAGCAGUGAAGGAAGUCUUUCUGGAGUCUUGGCUGCUCUGUGAGUUUCAUGAGAUUUCCAUAAAACUGAGAUUUCCUUUUCAAUGUGGGCUGUGGUUUUCUUUUCAAGAAGGACAUUGCUGAGCAAGGAAGAUGGCUUUUAAGUUUGCAGAUGACACUAAAGAACAAGUAGAACUAUGGACAUCAACAAGCUUCUCUCUCCAAGAAACAUCUGCUCAAUGGAGAAGGCAUACAGUGAAAAGUGUGUCUCAUAUGUUCUGCUUAUAUCUGGUGGGCUUACUUAAAAUAAGUAGCUAAACUUAUUUUAGUGUCCUGACACAGUGUCUCUUUGGUAUAAACACUAAAUACAAAUCAAGUCCAUCCCCAGCCUCUUUUGUGAAAUUAUGGCACAACAUUUUGAAGUUUUGCCAGUUUAACAUACAGGCAGAAGUGCUGUUGGCUCUGGCUUGCUACUGUAAAUGUAAAAUGUUAAAAUGGUGAGUAAUGAGAAAUGGAUGUAAUUCAAUCCUGCCCAGGAAAUUAAAGGACAUAACAGAGAAAGAAGGUAGGAAUAUGUAUCCUGGCUCCGGAGCCUGAUUUGCUUUCUUGACACUUGAUUCUUCUCUGCCUGGGGUCUGCUGAAAGUUACAGAAGAUCAAUAGCAUCUGAUUGCGUGUCCUAGAAAGCAGGGAUUGCUAGGUGGUGCUAACCACUGGUAAUUUGGUGUUGGUGCUGUAUUUCUGACUCCCACCCCCCUUCUCUUCACAUAGCUGCCAAAUUCACUUUAUUUCAGCAUUGGUUGGUCUGUGACCUUUUUAUCUAACUUGCUUCUGGGGUUUGCUAUUUUCCUUCAUUACCCUCCUCAUCUAACCUGCAUGCUUGUCACCAUUUACACAUCCUUCUCCAAAGGUAGGGAUCAUCAUUCAAACAGAGAACAAACUUGGCCAGCAUUAAGAGCUAAACAUCAGCUAGUAGGCUAAAAGUAAGUAGGCUGAAGAGUUAAUCAGCUGCAGCUUUUCUCCUUUCUUGAACAUGGGUAACAGGCAGCUUGUACAGCCCUAAUAUCCAAGGGAUGCUUGAGAGAGAAGAGAUGUCUGCUGAGGCUUUCACUGUGCUGUCUGAAAAGCUCUGCUUGCUCUUACCCUUCCCUGGUAUAUAUUUUAUCCUUCUUCCAAAUGUUUCUGUUGCUGCCUCUUCAAGAUUCUCAUGCUUCUUGGUUAUUUCCUUAUUUAAAUACUGCUACUAAUAAUAAGGACCUAAUCUUGGGUGCUUUUAAGGCUAUUAGUUUAUCUCUAUCAUCCUGACUUUCCUCAGCUGUACAGUAGCAAUAGAUGUAUGCCUUGCUGCUGCUAUUCCAUUCAGUGCAUCAAGUAUGAGGUAUUAUUAGUCAUAUUAUUAUUUAGAUAAGUAUAGAUAUUUUGUUAGCCUAGCAAGGUUUCACGCUAGAAGUUCAUUUUAAUUGCUCAAUAAGCUUAUUCUUCAGAAAUCCUCUUCUCCCCUGUAGUUUGGAAACAUAAAUGGAUUUGAGUGGCACACAAGCCAAAUCUGACUUGGGACAUGUCGAUAUGGAUAGAAGUACAAGUGGCACGUUCCUUCAUACUGUAUUUAUAUGACAAGUAAAGUCAAGAGAACAGCAGAGAACAGCCGUGUCACUUAUGUAGAAGACUUGUCAAGAGAUUCUCUGCUGGCACUACUAGAAAUGCACGUGAUUUCUUUCUGAUCCCAUCCAGCAGAUUUCUGUAGCCAUAUUAUGGUAUGCAGAAGAAAAGACUUGGUUUAGCUGAGGAGGUAAAUGAGACCAGAGUGUUCUGUCAGGAUUGAGAAUGAAGAAAAAUGACAGUACUCUAAGUGGAUUCAUGCAUCUUGCCUGGAACGAAACAUGGUCUUCUGAAAAUGUGACACCUGGUAGGAAUCAGAAAAGGCUCAUUUCCUAUAGCAUUUGACUUGGACCACAUUAAAGGGAAAGGCUCAGGACCAGCAGCAGAUGCAGGAGCCUUACUUAAUAAAUUGCUAAUCUGUCCUCAUUAACAAUGAAGUCCUUCCAGAGUGGAUAUUAAGACAGAGAGCUUUUGGCAUUUGUGCAGACUUAAGGGAACAUCUGUGUCUGUGAUGGCAGAAGAUUCAUUGUGUGAUAAUGGAAAUGAAGCCUCAAAGGAAAAUCCUUUUGCUGAUAAAAAAACAGAAAUGGGCCACAAGACCACUACCAAUGAGCAAGUUGGCAGCUGAAAACUGUAUUUGAUUUGCUCUGCCUCCUUGGUCUAAAGAAAGAAAGAAAGUUUGUGCUGGCUAAAGGAGUUUGGGACUGAAUAAGGAAAUGAGAAGACAACCUUAAGAGGUGAAUUGGGUACAUUUCCAAAGGAGGAAGGAAGGGACCAGCCAGAACUUUGAAGGUAAUAUUCAAAAAGAGACGCACAAACUGUGAAAGAACUACUGCAAGGGGAUUCUGUGGGCCUUAAAAAUUCUCGGGCAGUUACACCAUUCUUUUGAUGUAAAUCCGUAAGACUAUUUAAAGGGAUGAGCCUACCCAACUCGAUGUAUGCUCCUUGGUUCGUUUCCUCCACCUCUCCUGCACUCGCAGUGUGUAUUAUGUUGCUGAAUGGGAGUUGAAUCAAAGAACUGAGCUGCUAAAACCUACUCUGGGAGGUGGGUUGGGAUAGCCAGAAGUAUUGUGAAGAGGUGCUGAAUUCAGGUGAUCAUGUAACUGCAGGCUGGUGCACCUGGCUUUUCUGAGGAAUAUGUUGUUGGGAAAUCCUGGAGAACAAGCUCGUGUCUUUGCAGACAAUACUUUUAAUAGCUGCGCUUGGAAUUUUUCCUUGGACAAAAGAUGAUUAUUUGCUGAUGAGAUGACUAUAGUGUAUCUGAAGUGUCUUCCUAUGUCAUACAAUGCUAGAAUUAAUAACAUUCCUUACUGCAGUAAAUUAAGUAGAUCUGGAUUUUGUGUUCCCAUUUUUCAUGAGCUGUGAUCUUAGGUCAGGAGGAAGUUCAGAGGCUUGUUUCUUGGGGCACGGAAGUCCUUGCCUUUGCUGGAAAAAAUGCUGACUACCCUGUUUCAAUUCUCCUUAGCUAAGAACUACACCCCAUGCAUUUCAAAGCAUUGCAAAACCAAAGUUGUGUUUUUAGUGAGUAUUAAAAAUGGUGCAAAACUGUGCUCUAAUGUUUGGAGGACAAUGAAAACCAACUUGAACUGAAACAACCAUUCUGCAUUUCAAAACAUUGACAGCUCUUCAUGACCUCAUCCUGAGCCAAAAUGAGACUUUCUAAUGGACAAAUAAGUUCCCCACAGACUAUUAGAAGCAAUUGUGCAAAGGUUUUUUUCUCAGACAAAAAAAAAAGGGGGAUUCUGAUUACUUGGUUACUUUUUGCCAUUGUGAAAUCCCUUGAUCUUCUUUUCCUCUUUUUUCUUCUAAAAUGUGAAAAUUCUCUCUCUCCCUCUUCCCUCUCUAUUUUCUCUUUUAAUGUUAUAAAAUCGUCUUCUGCAUUUUCAAUGACUCCUAGGUCUGGCUUGUAAUGACUCACGUAAGCCUGGAAAAUAAUUUAGUUACAGUGCUUUCAGAAAGGUCUCUGGUGAAAUGAAUAUGUCUGUAGGAUGCACGUCAUACUGCUGGAUAGACAAAGCUGCACAAAACACAAAUUCCGUUAUAGAAGUAGUAGCUACAGCCUAUGGCAAUUGAAAAGUAAUGCUGUACCACCAUCGCAUGAAAGGACACCACUUCAUCUGUGAAAUGUAGCAAUCCCUGGGAACUGCCAUUGAUGCGAAGUUUUACUCUCCAGUGUGGUUUCUUCAAAUGAAAACUGGUGUAUCUGGAAGCCCAGGGAGAGGUGGGAAGUAGGAGCUGUAAUACAGAGGGAGAAGUGGAUGCAUUUUUCUCCUGUUGUUUUUGGAGAGCUCUUUCUCAGAUUGUUCUCCUUCUGUAGGAGUUUGUGGUGCAGACAAACCACAACAUGAAGAACUAAAGCUGGAUGUCCUGGCCAUUAGGACCAGCAUAGCAACAAGGACAGCUUACUGUAAAGAUACCACCAGGAGUCAAGGAA
Oxyura jamaicensis (ruddy duck) is the source of this 4517-nucleotide long non-coding RNA. RefSeq lists it as uncharacterized. Lineage: Eukaryota; Metazoa; Chordata; Aves; Anseriformes; Anatidae. The record is from RefSeq and is a predicted model, not a curated record. The transcript has 12 exons.